ACAGCCAUAUAGCUUUGAAACUCCAGUUCCUGUAUGAUCAUUGAAGUUAAGUAACAUCAUGUCUGGUCAGUACCUAGAUGGGCAACCAUUUGGGAAUACCACGUGCUGUAAG
Non-coding RNA from Acanthosepion pharaonis, 112 nucleotides. The record is from the annotation of a GenBank genome assembly. NCBI's taxonomy places the organism in Eukaryota, Metazoa, Mollusca, Cephalopoda, Sepiida, Sepiidae.